GACGAACGCUGGCGGCGUGCCUAACACAUGCAAGUCGAACGGGGUCCAUGGGAGCUUGCUCCCGGAAGACCUAGUGGCGAACGGGUGAGUAACACGUGAGAAACCUGCCCUGGAGUGGGGGAAUAACUCGGGGAAACUCGAGCUAAUACCGCAUACCCUCGGAUGGUCGCAUGGCCGACCGAGGAAAGAUUUAUCGCUUCAGGAGGGUCUCGCGGCCUAUCAGCUAGUUGGUGGGGUAACGGCCUACCAAGGCAACGACGGUAGCUGGUUUGAGAGAACGAUCAGCCACACUGGGACUGAGACACGGCCCAGACUCCUACGGGAGGCAGCAGUGGGGAAUCUUGCGCAAUGGGCGAAAGCCUGACGCAGCAACGCCGCGUGCGGGAUGACGGCCUUGU
Molecule: ribosomal RNA, 398 nt
Filed under: uncultured bacterium
Lineage: Bacteria
Description: bacterial SSU rRNA
Rfam family: Bacterial small subunit ribosomal RNA
Source: RNAcentral